ACAUAACCCCUUCCGUUUGCAGCUAUCUGAACUUUUCUCUUUUCAAAGCAGAAAAUUGACCACAGAUCUCUACCAACAAUUCAUCGUCUCUUUUAUGCUGAAUUUUAUNNNNNNNNNCUAUUCAUUGGAAGUGCAUGACAUCCAUCUUAACGUAGAGGAUGCCAGCGAACGGGCCAAUAGUUUCCUUUUUCUUUAGAAAACUAGUGUUAGAGAAGAGGAAAAGACUUAUAUACUAGGGAUCCAAGUGAAGUGAGGAGUGUUAAGGUUCGGAGUUUGAGGAAACCCAAUGUCCACAAAUCUUCCAAAGAGGUGAGGUUUUGGAGGCUUCCUACAUAUGCAUCUCAGAUUCUUGAGUGUAAUGAUAAAAAGAAAGUUAACCAAAAUGGAAGUAGCCAGCCAUUGUCAUCUAGAAAGAAAACAGUAUUUGUACUUCAACUUUUGCCUCUUUUGCCUUUGAUUACCAAUCCCUCCAGAUCUUGCUUAUAAUGGAAAUCAACCCACCCCAAAUCUAAUUCUUCAACGCUUUGCUUCUUAUCUCAAAUAUUGAAAUCAUGUAACGUGAAGUUCCCCUUGUAGAUGAGCCUUAAGCAUUUUAAUUUUGGCACUAAGCCAUGUAGGACAUCACUAGUAACAAAUAGUGAUUUAUGGUAACAGAAAGAUAA
This 662-nucleotide unclassified non-coding RNA is filed under the name Hevea brasiliensis (rubber tree). Lineage: Eukaryota; Viridiplantae; Streptophyta; Magnoliopsida; Malpighiales; Euphorbiaceae. The record is from RNAcentral.